RNAcentral lists this ribosomal RNA (485 nucleotides) under uncultured bacterium. RNAcentral's name for it is "bacterial SSU rRNA". It matches the Rfam family "Bacterial small subunit ribosomal RNA", at positions 30 to 507 of the family's 1533-position model. The record is from RNAcentral.
AUUGAACGCUGGCGGCAGGCUUAACACAUGCAAGUCGAGCGGAGAUGAGGUGCUUGCACCUUAUCUUAGCGGCGGACGGGUGAGUAAUGCUUAGGAAUCUGCCUAUUAGUGGGGGACAACAUUCCGAAAGGAAUGCUAAUACCGCAUACGCCCUACGGGGGAAAGCAGGGGAUCUUCGGACCUUGCGCUAAUAGAUGAGCCUAAGUCGGAUUAGCUAGUUGGUGGGGUAAAGGCCUACCAAGGCGACGAUCUGUAGCGGGUCUGAGAGGAUGAUCCGCCACACUGGGACUGAGACACGGCCCAGACUCCUACGGGAGGCAGCAGUGGGGAAUAUUGGACAAUGGGCGGAAGCCUGAUCCAGCCAUGCCGCGUGUGUGAAGAAGGCCUUUUGGUUGUAAAGCACUUUAAGCGAGGAGGAGGCUACUUAGAUUAAUACUCUAGGAUAGUGGACGUUACUCGCAGAAUAAGCACCGGCUAACUCUGUG